ACGGCGAGUGAACCGGGAAGAGCUCAAAUUUGAAAUCUGGCUGUCUUCGAUAGUCCGAGUUGUAAUCUAUAGAAGCGUUUUCCGUGCUGAACUGUGUCUAAGUCCCUUGGAACAGGGUAUCAAAGAGGGUGACAAUCCCGUACUUGACACAAUCAUCAGUGCUCUGUGAUACGCUCUCUACGAGUCGAGUUGUUUGGGAAUGCAGCUCAAAAUGGGUGGUAAAUUCCAUCUAAAGCUAAAUAUUGGCGAGAGACCGAUAGCGAACAAGUACCGUGAGGGAAAGAUGAAAAGCACUUUGGAAAGAGAGUUAAACAGUACGUGAAAUUGUUGAAAGGGAAACGAUUGAAGUCAGUCGUGUUCAUUGGAUUCAGCCGGUCUUCGGUGUACUUCCUUUGAACGGGUCAACAUCAGUUUUGCCCGGUGGAUAAAGGCAGUAGGAAUGUGGCCUCUUCGGAGGUGUUAUAGCCUAUUGUCACAUACACUGGGGGAGACUGAGGACUGCAGCUCGCC
RNAcentral lists this ribosomal RNA (510 nucleotides) under Apiotrichum loubieri. RNAcentral's name for it is "eukaryotic LSU rRNA". It matches the Rfam family "Eukaryotic large subunit ribosomal RNA", at positions 86 to 604 of the family's 3401-position model. Lineage: Eukaryota; Fungi; Basidiomycota; Tremellomycetes; Trichosporonales; Trichosporonaceae. The record is from RNAcentral.